RNAcentral lists this ribosomal RNA (497 nucleotides) under uncultured bacterium. Its description in RNAcentral is "partial 16S ribosomal RNA". It matches the Rfam family "Bacterial small subunit ribosomal RNA", at positions 28 to 507 of the family's 1533-position model. The record is from RNAcentral.
GAUGAACGCUGGCGGCGUGCCUAAUACAUGCAAGUCGAGCGAACAGAUGAGGAGCUUGCUCCUCUGACGUUAGCGGCGGACGGGUGAGUAACACGUGGAUAACCUACCUAUAAGACUGGGAUAACUUCGGGAAACCGGAGCUAAUACCGGAUAAUAUAUUGAACCGCAUGGUUCAAUAGUGAAAGACGGUUUUGCUGUCACUUAUAGAUGGAUCCGCGCCGCAUUAGCUAGUUGGUAAGGUAACGGCUUACCAAGGCAACGAUGCGUAGCCGACCUGAGAGGGUGAUCGGCCACACUGGAACUGAGACACGGUCCAGACUCCUACGGGAGGCAGCAGUAGGGAAUCUUCCGCAAUGGGCGAAAGCCUGACGGAGCAACGCCGCGUGAUUGAUGAAGGUCUUCGGAUCGUAAAACUCUGUUAUUAGGGAAGAACAAAUGUGUAAGUAACUAUGCACGUCUUGACGGUACCUAAUCAGAAAGCCACGGCUAACUACGUG